Molecule: unclassified non-coding RNA, 496 nt
Filed under: Hevea brasiliensis (rubber tree)
Lineage: Eukaryota; Viridiplantae; Streptophyta; Magnoliopsida; Malpighiales; Euphorbiaceae
Source: RNAcentral
CAGCGAUGAUGCCUUCUACAGGUACAAGAUGCCUCGAAUGAUCACCAAAAUAGAAGGUAGAGGGAAUGGCAUCAAGACCAAUGUUGUCAAUAUGGUAGAUAUUGCCAAGGCAUUAGCUAGACCUGCCUCCUAUACCACCAAGUUUUUCGGAUGUGAGCUUGGUGCCCAGUCCAAGUUUGAUGAGAAGACUGGUAUGUCACUAGUGAAUGGGGCUCAUGAUACUUCAAAGCUUGCGGCAUUACUGGAGAUCUUCAUCAAGAAGUAUGUGCAAUGUUAUGGAUGUGGAAAUCCUGAGACUGAGGUUAUUAUUACCAAGUCCCAGAUGAUUAUCCUCAAAUGUGCUGCGUGUGGGUAUCUAUCAGAUGUGGACAUGAGGGACAAGUUGACGACUUUUAUCCUUAAGAACCCGCCGGAGCAAAAGAAGGGAUCCAAGGAUAAGAAGGCAAUGAGGCGUGCUGAGAAAGAGAGGCUCAAGGAAGGUGAAGCUGCUGAUGAA